UUUCAGGGAAGAAUCAACAUCAAGAAAAAGAGAAUGAACUCUUGAACAUAAACUAUGAUAAGCUUGAGUGUCUUCUGUAUGACCCAUGAACAGCAAUGGAAAUCAAAGGAACAGCAAAUGAAACUGCAAAUUGCUAAACUAGAGAUGGCUAUCAAAUCUGAUUUAGCAGACAAAAAUGCAAUCCUUGACAAGAUCAAAGUAGAAAGAGGAAUUAGAAAAAUCUGGAUUAAAAUUACAUCACUUGGUUUUAUGUAGUCAUGAAUUACAUCAGAUGAAAGAAUACAGCAGCUGAGUGUAGAAUGCAGAUGAAGCAAUCUCCCUGCAGAGGACACGCCACCGUCACUUCCAAACCCAGCAGGUGGUCACAGGAGUGACUGUAACUAUAGAACUGCGCUCAGUGAUACCCCAGAAGAUGAGCAGAACUUGAAUGUGAAGAUACUGAUUUUGCUGAAUCUGUUUGAAAAAUAUAUUCCAGAAGCAAAGAAAUACCAUUGAACAAGACAUUGGUGUUUUUGAUUGCCAAGAUGACAGUGCAGUAAUUGGAAAGCUCAAAGGAGCAGUGGAAGCCCUCCAUGCUCUGCCCUCAGUCGAGAGGGGAAUGCAAAGAUGACUACGAGGCAUGAAAGGAAGUUUGCCUACAGAGGAGCCUUCUCCCAGUGUAAAUACAUGCUUGAUAGUGCAUCAAAGAUGAGAUCUUUGUAAUUCCUACAGUAUAUUUAAUGUAUAAUUGAUAUGAAAAGGACGCUUGAUUUGUAGUUGUAAAGUUUUGUAUACUUUUCAGUCUGUUUGUUUUUAUAUUUCCCCCCUAAGGCUAAGAAUAUCUCCACAAUGGACAACGUCUUGUAAAUAAUUAAUACCUACAUGAUUGAACGACGUGCUUUAUUUGCAUUUUUAAGAUUUUUUUUCCUACAUAAAACAGUAAUAAAAAUGCAAGUCAAAAUUUUAAUUUUUAAUAAAAAAACCAUAAGCCUUAGAAAACUGAUUAAAAAUACUUUUAUGUUAUCCCUAAUCACCCCGUUAAAUGGAAUGCCUGUGAUUAGCCUCAUUAAGAAUUUUAUACUGUGAAGAUUUUAUUAAAAGCAAUAUAUGAAAAUUACUUGGAUUAAUGUGUUAAUCUGCCUCUUUAAAAUGCUAAUAUCCAUUUUAUGCACAUUAAAUCUCAGUAUGUGUUUUCUUUGAUGCAUGCAGUUCCUAUCAAUUAAAUAUAAAAAAUUAGGCUAGUUGCAGGACUUAUUAAAUUACUGCACCCUUUUUUAAAAUAACUUUUACCCUUCUACUGGCAUUAUAAUCAGCUGUUUAUGGUUACCAUAAUUUGAAGUAGGGGGAGGGCAGGCACAAUCAUUUUCUGUACAGGAGAUGAUUUACUCACAGCCAACAUCUGUCAAAGCACAAAAAGAAGCCAAAGAGUAUCAGAUUUUGCUUCACCUGCUUUGGGCUUUAGGGAUGGGCAACUGUUUUCAUUUGGGUUUUGUCACUUUUAGAACUUACAUCAAACGUAUACAAUAAAUUGUUGUAUCUGAAUAACUA
Molecule: long non-coding RNA, 1527 nt
Organism: Serinus canaria (Common canary)
Lineage: Eukaryota; Metazoa; Chordata; Aves; Passeriformes; Fringillidae
Exons: 5
Source: RefSeq, a predicted model, not a curated record